CCAAUCAUACCUUUUGCUUCGUCCUUCGCCUUCUGAAAAUUCUCCUAAACAAGCUUCAAGUCAAGGUCGAGCUGGAUAUGUUUGUUUUCCAACUCAGUAUAGCAAGCCACAAGCUCGCAAGAUUUCUGCGAAGAGUCAGUCGACAGACAUCAAAGAGAGGUUGCUUCCGAGUGACUAAGAGAAAAACCGUAACAUUUCUAAGACUACAGUCGAAUCAAAAUAUUCAACAGUAGUCUCGGGGACUACACCCAGUGGGUGCACUCAGCGUGCCCCCACUGGUUCUACCGACUUGGUCCGAUCAGAUGGCCGAAAAGAGACAAAGAGGUUAUGAUCCUAAAACUAUAGCUCUAUAGCUAACUACCAGCAGUCAGCCUUGGUCUCAUCAUUAUCUACCAAAAAACAAGUUCUUCAGACUACAGUCGACUGCCAGCAGUCCACCAUAGUCUCGGGGACAACACCCAGUGGGUGCACUCAGCGUGCCCCCACCGGUUCCAAGAUUCCAUUCGACAUGGUCCGACCAGACCGAGUGAAGAAGUUAGAGUGAAGAAAUUUAAAAUACGAAGACUACAGUCGACUGCCAGCAGUCCACCAUAGUCUCGGGGACUACACCCAGUGGAUGCAUUCAGCGUGCCCCCACCAAUCCAAAAAUUCAAUCGAUACACCCAGUGGGUGUACAGAUACAAAGAUCUUCGGAAAGAAAGUCUUCAGAUAGCAUAUCCUAACAGAAUAAGCGGUGACCAACUAACCUGGACGUUGCUCGGAACGUCUGAGCUAGCAUCAUAGGCCGCUUGGCUGGCUUCCCGGAUUGCCUUCACCUGCUCCAUCAUGAUCCCCGCCUGGCAUAUAGCCUCCUUAGCAGCACCCGCUUGGUCCUCUGGGACGUGGUGUGUGGCGAAAAGGGAGGACGGGUUAGCAGUCAACGACGAAGGUCGGGCACUUGUCAGCGGCACAGCGAAGGACAUGGAAUUCAGAGUGAUGUUGCCACCCUCUUGAACCAACGUCUUAGGCACUGAUGUAGUCUGAGUAGUCUUGCCAGCCGACACCUUUCUAUUCCUCCUCGACCUCAGUAGCGCCUCGUCGUCAUCAUCAGGGAGAUUGAUGACAUGAGGAGGAACUACAGGAAAAAUCCAAAGUUGAAAUCGAAAAUCCAAUCGACCAAAAGUGAAACUACAGAGAGCAUACCAAGGUUGGAGGUGGCAGCGUCUUCCAUUUCCUGGUCUUCAUUCUUGGCGGAGGUCUCGGAGGUAGCAGCACUGCAGAUUUCAGAAACCAGUCGGUUAAUCAAUGAGUCGACCAAGAUUUCGUCCGUGCUAAACAAGAAGACACAAGUUCUGUUGUUACCCGGAAAUGGUGGGAAUGGCCAUUCUCAUCUUGGGCAAGGCCUUCGGCGGCUUUGAUGGCGCCGCUCGUGGAUGCUUCAGCGCUUUUUCAGUCGGCGCCGGAGAAGCCGCCCGAGGGUGCUUUGAAAAUUGCCUAAUGGGCACAAUCCCUUUGCCGCGCUCGCUCGCGGGUUCGUGGGUGGGCUUGGAUCUCCUUUUCGUGCGAGGAGGAUCGACUUCCUCCUCCUCCUCUUCACUGGAGCCGUCGUCAUCCUCUUCCCCCUCACCAUCAGAUUGCCACUCCUCCUCACUUUCACCUCCGCUCGCCUCUCCCUCCUAGGCCUGUUCUUGUGCCCCAUUGGGCAUCGAGUACAUCUCACUCAUGGCCUAGAAGACAACAAACAAGACAAAAGUCAGUCGACUGAUUUUAAGGAAACAGAAUGAAGAAAGCAUGAUCACAGUCAGAGAUGCAGAAUUGGACCUUGUCUACUUCGUAUGAUUGGUCGAGUGGAGGAAUCCUCCUGGCACCUCGGGGGUUGUCUUUGUUCCCUGUGAUACUCGCCAGCCACCUCUCCGGCGUGGCAUCAUCAAUCUCCUCCGGGUGGAUCCGAGUGGUGUCCUCAGUGCCAGAAUACAACCACAUCGGAUGGUCUCGAGCUUGAAGCGGCUGGAUGCGUCGUUGGAGGAAGACCUCCAAGAGGUCCAUGCCGGUCACCCCGUCAUGGAUAAGCUGGACAACACGCUCGACCAGCACCUUAACAUGCACCUUCUCUUCCAGGAUCACCUUCAAAGAGGAAGGCUUCCUCACUCGUUCCAUGGAAAAAGGAGGGAGUUCGGUCGACUGCCCCGGCGUCGGCUGGUCUUUGCAGUAGAACCAGGUCCACUGCCAUCCACGGACCGAGUCGGGUAGGAUCAUGGCCGGAAAAGAGCUUUUCCCCCUCAUUUGAACCCCAAGACCCCCACACAUCUGAAUCACUUGUGUUCUCUCAUCACUCAGAUUGGCCUUUUUCACCGUCUGGGAGCGACAGGUGAAGAUGUGCUUGAAAAGACCCCAAUGAGGCCGGCAACCCAAGAAAUUCUCGCACAAAGACACGAAAGCAGCGAGGUACACGAUGGUGUUGGGUGUGAAGUGGUGGAGUUGCGCCCCAAAGAAAUUCAGAAAUCCCCGAAAGAAAGGGUGAGGCGGCAAAGAAAACCCACGGUCGACAUGGGUGGCCAAGAGAACGCACUCACCCUCCUGAGGCUGUGGCUCAGACUCCUUCCCCGGGAGCCACACCGAUCCAUGGGGGAUCAGUCCUCCAUCGGCCAGGUCAUCAAGAUCUGCUUGACGAAUCGUCGAGCGGAUCCAGUCGCCCUGGAUCCAGCCCUGCGGCAGGCCGGCUGUGACGCUCGGAUAGUUAAGCUAGAGUGAACCUGUGCUAAUGAUGCCACGUCACCUCGAUUACUGAUGCUAAUCUCGUGUUAGUUCGAAACCGAUUCAAAUUCAAUUCAAAAUCAAGCAAACAAUAAAAGUUUUCAAAUAUUAAAACUAAAAUGUUCGGGGUGAGCCAAAUAAUGCAUAGGUAAGUAUGGUGGAGAAACCACAUUUUUAGAAAAGGUUUAAUACUCUAAAAACAUUUUGAACAAUAGCAAAAACAAUUAGUUAAAUGCCUUUUACAAUUAAUAAAAUAUUAAAAUAUUUCAUUUUUGUCACCAAACUCUUUUGUGGCAUUGGGGUAUGUUGAAACACUAAAGUAGAUGCUAAUUAUAUAUUUUUAUACAAAAUUAAAACAAAUUGUAAAUUAAAAGAAAAUAAAUAUAAAGGAAAGGGAAUAACCAAAAACAAAACCUAAAAGAAAAAAGGGAAAAGGCCUUCCCCAGCUGGGCCGACCCAGCUGGCCACCAGGCCAAGCCCAGCCGGCCUCCCCCACUGGCCCAGCCAGCCGCCCCCAUUCCCCUUAUCUCCCCCGAAACCCUAACCCACUCCCACGAUCCCCACUCUCCCCCCCCCCCGCGCGAUUUGGUUCGGGGGCGACCCAACGCACGCCGUCCCGAUCCCGUUGNNNNNNNNNNNNNNNNNNNNNNNNNNNNNNNNNNNNNNNNNNNNNNNNNNNNNNNNNNNNNNNNNNNNNNNNNNNNNNNNNNNNNNNNNNNNNNNNNNNNNNNNNNNNNNNNNNNNNNNNNNNNNNNNNNNNNNNNNNNNNNNNNNNNNNNNNNNNNNNNNNNNNNNNNNNNNNNNNNNNNNNNNNNNNNNNNNNNNNNNNNNNNNNNNNNNNNNNNNNNNNNNNNNNNNNNNNNNNNNNNNNNNNNNNNNNNNNNNNNNNNNNNNNNNNNNNNNNNNNNNNNNNNNNNNNNNNNNNNNNNNNNNNNNNNNNNNNNNNNNNNNNNNNNNNNNNNNNNNNNNNNNNNNNNNNNNNNNNNNNNNNNNNNNNNNNNNNNNNNNNNNNNNNNNNNNNNNNNNNNNNNNNNNNNNNNNNNNNNNNNNNNNNNNNNNNNNNNNNNNNNNNNNNNNNNNNNNNNNNNNNNNNNNNNNNNNNNNNNNNNNNNNNNNNNNNNNNNNNNNNNNNNNNNNNNNNNNNNNNNNNNNNNNNNNNNNNNNNNNNNNNNNNNNNNNNNNNNNNNNNNNNNNNNNNNNNNNNNNNNNNNNNNNNNNNNNNNNNNNNNNNNNNNNNNNNNNNNNNNNNNNNNNNNNNNNNNNNNNNNNNNNNNNNNNNNNNNNNNNNNNNNNNNNNNNNNNNNNNNNNNNNNNNNNNNNNNNNNNNNNNNNNNNNNNNNNNNNNNNNNNNNNNNNNNNNNNNNNNCGGAGCUCGUGCCCGGCUCCCCCCGUCGCCCGGGCAGGCUACGGCCUCGGGCACAGGCACCACACCCGCUACCCGCUACCAUCGGCGCCCGCUAAGGCCCCUGGGCCAAUGACAAGGGGGCCCCACCCCCUAAAAAGAACGGUUUUUAUUAAAACAAAAACAAAAAUAAAAUGAAAAUGAAUUAAAACUAAUUAACUAAUUAGUUAAUUAAUUAAUUAAUUAAGUAUUUAAUUAAUCUAAUUAAUUCUGUUUAAUUAACCCUAACCACUAAUUAACCUAAUUAACUAAGGUUAAUUAACUUUGAUUAGGCUAAUUAAGUUAAUAGAGUAUGACGAACGGGACCCACAUGUCAGGGUUGACUCAGUCAACCCCUGUUGACUGCUGACGUCAGCAUGACAUCAUGCUGACGUCAUUAAUACAUUUUUUUGAAUUAAUUAAAUAAAUAAUUAAAUUUCAGAAAUUAAUAAAAUCUUUAGAAAAUCAUAUCUUUUAAUCCGUAACUCGGAUUAAAAUGUUUUCAACAUGAAAGUUGCUCAGAACGACGAGACGAUUCCGGAUACGCAACCCGUUCGUCCGCCACACCCCCCUAACCUAUCGAACUCGCAACUUUCCCCCCCUCCGGCUCCUCUGCCCGAAAACACGGAACCCCGGGAAUAUUUCCCGGAUGCUUCCCCCCUUCACCGGUAUCACCUCCUACCGCGUUAGAACACGUCUAGCUCUGCUUGUUAUCCUGUUAUGCACUUGCUUGCUAUGUAUUUACUGUUUCUUCCCCCUCUUCUCUUCGGUAGACCCCGUGACGAUGCGGAUGCCCCGGUUCGACUACGGAGUUGACGACCCCUCUCUCUUGCCAUAGCAACCAGGCAAGCCCCCCCUUUGAUCACCAGAUAUCGCCUAUUCUUCUCUAUACUGCUUGCAUUAGAGUAGUGUAGCAUGUUACUGCUUUCGUUAAUCCUAUUCUGAUGCAUAGCCUGACAUUGUCGCUACAUCUGUUGAUACCUUACCUGCAAUCCUAAAUGCUUAGUAUAGGAUGCUAGUUUAUCAUCAUUGGCCCUACAUUCUUGUCAGUCUGCCUUGCUAUACUAUUGGGCCGUGAUCACUCGGGAGGUGAUCACGGGUAUAUACUAUACAUACAUACAUACUAUACAGAUGGUGACUAAAGUCGGGUCAGCUCUUUGAGUACCCGCAAGUGAUUCUGACGAGGGGGCUGAAAGGACAGGUGGCUCCAUCCCGGUAGAGGUGGGCCUGGGUUCCUGACGGCCCUCGACGGUUACUUUGUGGCGGAGNNNNNNNNNNCCCCCUUCACCGGUAUCACCUCCUACCGCGUUAGAACACGUCUAGCUCUGCUUGUUAUCCUGUUAUGCACUUGCUUGCUAUGUAUUUACUGUUUCUUCCCCCUCUUCUCUUCGGUAGACCCCGUGACGAUGCGGAUGCCCCGGUUCGACUACGGAGUUGAUGACCCCUCUCUCUUGCCAUAGCAACCAGGCAAGCCCCCCCUUUGAUCACCAGAUAUCGCCUAUUCUUCUCUAUACUGCUUGCAUUAGAGUAGUGUAGCAUGUUACUGCUUUCGUUAAUCCUAUUCUGAUGCAUAGCCUGACAUUGUCGCUACAUCUGUUGAUACCUUACCUGCAAUCCUAAAUGCUUAGUAUAGGAUGCUAGUUUAUCAUCAUUGGCCCUACAUUCUUGUCAGUCUGCCUUGCUAUACUAUUGGGCCGUGAUCACUCGGGAGGUGAUCACGGGUAUAUACUAUACAUACAUACAUACUAUACAGAUGGUGACUAAAGUCGGGUCAGCUCUUUGAGUACCCGCAAGUGAUUCUGACGAGGGGGCUGAAAGGACAGGUGGCUCCAUCCCGGUAGAGGUGGGCCUGGGUUCCUGACGGCCCUCGACGGUUACUUUGUGGCGGAGUGACAGGGCAGGUUGAGACCACCUAGGAGACAGGUGGGCCUGGCCCUGUUCGGCGUUCGCGGAUACUUAACACGCUUAACGAGAUCUUGGUAUUUGAUCUGAGUCUGGCUACGAGCCUAUACGCACUAACCAUCUACGUGGGAGUAGUUAUGGGUAUCCCGACGUCGUGGUAUCAGCCGAAGCACUUCAGACGUCAGCGACGGAGCGGCGCGCGCCGGAUUGGAACGUAAGCCUGCUCUUGUAUUAAGGGGGCUAGUUCUGCUUCCGGCCGCCCUCGCAACGUGCAGGUGUGCUAUGGGCGAUGGGCCCAGACCCCUGUGCGCUUAGGUUUAGACCGGCGUGCUGGCCUCUCUGUUUUGCCUAGGUGGGGCUGUGACGUGUUGAUCUUCCGCGGCCGGGCAUGACCCAGGAAAGUGUGUCCGGCCAAAUGGGAUCAAGCGUGUUGGGCUAUGUGGUGCAGCCCUGCAGGGAAGUUUAAUCUAUUCGAAUAGCCGUGAUCUUCGGUAACAGGACGACUUGGAGUUGUACCUUGACCUUAUGACAACUAGAACCGGAUACUUAAUAAAACACACCCUUCCAAGUUCCACAGACAACCCGGUGAUCGCUUUUCCGCAGGGCGACGAGGAGAGGAUCGCCGGGUAGGAUUACGCUAUGCGAUGCUACUUGGAGAUGCUACUGGAGAUGCUACUUGGAGAUGCUACUUGGAGAUGCUACUUGGAGGACUUCAAUCUACUCUCUUCUACUUGAUGCAAGACGGUGACUGCGAGAAGCGUAGUCUUCGACAGGAUUAGUUAUCCCCCUCUUAUUCUGGCAUUCUGCAGUUCAGUCCACUGAUAUGGCCUCCUUACACAUAUACCCAUGCAUAUGUAGUGUAGUUCCUUGCUUGCGAGUACUUUGGAUGAGUACUCACGGUUGCUUUCUCCCCCCUUUUCCCCCUUUCCUUUCUUUCUGGUUGUCGCAACCAGAUGCUGGAGCCCUGGAGCCAGACGCCACUACCGACGAUGAUUCCUACUACACUGGAGGUGCCUACUACUACGUGCUCCCGCUGAUGAUGACCUGGAGUAGUGUAGGAGGAUCCCAGGCAGGAGGCCUGCGCCUCUUUCGAUCUGUAUCCCAGUUUGUGCUAGCCUUCUUAAGGCAAACUUGUUUAACUUAUGUCUGUACUCAGAUAUUGUUGCUUCCGCUGACUCGUCUAUGAUCGAGCACUUGUAUUCGAGCCCUCGAGGCCCCUGGCUUGUAUUAUGAUGCUUGUAUGACUUAUUUUAUUUGUAGAGUUGUGUUGUGAUAUCUUCCCGUGAGUCCCUGAUCUUGAUCGUACAUGUUUGCGUGCAUGAUUAGUGUACGAUUGAAUCGGGGGCGUCACAAGUUGGUAUCAGAGCCGACUGCCUGUAGGAAUCCCCCUUCCACACUCCUUGGCCGAAGUCGAGUCUAGUCGUUGAAAAACUUUUACUAACAUGGAUGUGUGGCCCAUGGGCCCACGUCGCCAUCGGGAGGUAUUAGGAUCUUUUACUCCUCGACCUUUACUCUGGGACUCUGAACUCUCUUCUACUCGGGUUAAACGAUUUCUACUAAAAUCUGACUUUAGGUUCUCGAAAAUACUUUCUCCCGGAGAGCCCCUUCAGUCCAGGUGAUCGCCGACUACACCAGAAGAUUUCGAAGUUACUCGCGGAAACUCUUUUGAGACUUUGUGUCCGUUGCUUUUGCAAUUCCCUACCAUCGAAAUAUCCCUAUGGAUAAAUACAUACACUUGACGUUCUUACUUUUAUUCCCAGUUGAUCUUGUUAUUACAAGAUACCCCGAAAUUCUCUCUAUUGAUCCGAGAAUAUCUUGUGCCUACUGUCUUGCAAUUCCUUGUCACCUGAAUACCCCUAUGGAUAAUUCUCGCACUUGUCGAGUAUCCGCUUAUCCCCAGUUGUUCAUGUGUUUCGCAAAAGUCUUCAAAAUAAUAUUCGAUCUUCCGAAAAUCCUCUAGAGCCUUUGGCUCUUGAAAUUCUUGCUUGCUUGCAUUAUGGUUAAUCCCAUAAGUCUCGUAGUCUUAAUGACAUUCCUUGUCAUUAUCAUUUUGAGUCCGUUGACUCAAUAUGUUUGCGAAUACACGCAAUCAUCNNNNNNNNNNCCCUGCAGGGAAGUUUAAUCUAUUCGAAUAGCCGUGAUCUUCGGUAACAGGACGACUUGGAGUUGUACCUUGACCUUAUGACAACUAGAACCGGAUACUUAAUAAAACACACCCUUCCAAGUUCCACAGACAACCCGGUGAUCGCUUUUCCGCAGGGCGACGAGGAGAGGAUCGCCGGGUAGGAUUACGCUAUGCGAUGCUACUUGGAGAUGCUACUGGAGAUGCUACUUGGAGAUGCUACUUGGAGAUGCUACUUGGAGGACUUCAAUCUACUCUCUUCUACUUGAUGCAAGACGGUGACUGCGAGAAGCGUAGUCUUCGACAGGAUUAGUUAUCCCCCUCUUAUUCUGGCAUUCUGCAGUUCAGUCCACUGAUAUGGCCUCCUUACACAUAUACCCAUGCAUAUGUAGUGUAGUUCCUUGCUUGCGAGUACUUUGGAUGAGUACUCACGGUUGCUUUCUCCCCCCUUUUCCCCCUUUCCUUUCUUUCUGGUUGUCGCAACCAGAUGCUGGAGCCCUGGAGCCAGACGCCACUGCCGACGAUGAUUCCUACUACACUGGAGGUGCCUACUACUACGUGCUCCCGCUGAUGAUGACCUGGAGUAGUGUAGGAGGAUCCCAGGCAGGAGGCCUGCGCCUCUUUCGAUCUGUAUCCCAGUUUGUGCUAGCCUUCUUAAGGCAAACUUGUUUAACUUAUGUCUGUACUCAGAUAUUGUUGCUUCCGCUGACUCGUCUAUGAUCGAGCACUUGUAUUCGAGCCCUCGAGGCCCCUGGCUUGUAUUAUGAUGCUUGUAUGACUUAUUUUAUUUGUAGAGUUGUGUUGUGAUAUCUUCCCGUGAGUCCCUGAUCUUGAUCGUACACGUUUGCGUGCAUGAUUAGUGUACGAUUGAAUCGGGGGCGUCACACCGGCCCUCGAUGAAGAUCCGCCUCGACUGGUCGCCCUUCCCUUCGCCUUCGCCGUCGCUUUCUUCGCCCGCUCCAGGGCCGUCGUCUUCUCUUUCACCAUCAUUGCCGGCGAGAUGCGCACGGGACAGCUGCACUGAGACAGAAGCGGACGCAGCGGAUAAGUCUGGAGAAGAGAGGAGGAAAUGAGAACGCACUGUUCAAAAAACCCCGUCCGGCGCCUUAUAUGAGGUUACUUCCGAGUGACUGACUUGUAGGUCCGGGCGAUCCUGUCAAAUCCCGCACCAGUCGCGCGCGCGAUACGUGGCAAAAAAGGUGGCGCAGAGAUCGAGGCGUCUCCACCCUAUCACGUCUGAUUACUGCGGCCUCCUCCACCCCGCGCGCUUCCCAAAAUUCGAAUCCCACAAAAUCCAUGAGCAGCAGAACAACUUGUCAGAUGGGGGAUCUCCUCCACACCGUCACUCGGAACUUUUCAAGUAAAGAAAUUCACUCGACUAAAACCAAGAAUGUAUCAAGGCAACCGAAAAAGAAGUUGGUGUCGUUACCUAAGUUCUUGGAUCCAAAGCCAGAUGCACUCAUAGCACAAAAAAUGGGUCGGAAGAGUUCUCAACUCCUUCCCCACUCAAACCCCGAUCCAUUCGGGGGCUAAUGAUGAAGCUAUGUACCUAGGGUAGGGUCAUGGACCUGUCCAAACUACCCUACCCAAGGACAUCUCUAGAAGAAACCACCUGUCAAUCGACUCAGAAGUGUUCCACUCGACAGACUCGAAGACACUCGACCAUGAAGCCAACCACUCGACGGCCGGGAGAUCCAAAGUCACUCUGCAUGCAAACGGUUGGUCAUUGAGUAGCUUUUAUGAUCAUCAUAGCACUUUAUUUGUGGCGUUAUCAGUAAUGCCAGAUCUUAAUGUACCUUAAACCCUACAUAACUGAGGGCCGGAGGGAUCUGGCGAACUCUAUAUAAGCCACCCCCCUCCUUAGUGUAAAGGGUUCGCACCCCUGUAACUCAUACACAUAAUUCAGUCGACCGCCUCCGGGCUCCGAGACGUAGGGCUGUUACUUCCUCCGAGAAGGGCCUGAACUCGUAAAUCCCUUGCGUAUACAACUACUCCAUAGCUAGGAUCUUGCCUCUCCAUUCCUACCCCCCUACACUACUGUCAGACUUAGAACCACGACAGUGGCCACAUAGGACCUCUGGAUUUGGCACUCCUUCUUUGGUAUGUCAGGAACUCACAAUGACAUCAACAUGCUGCAGUGCUCUCCUGUCUUUGCCAAGCUUGUUGAAGGUCAUUCUCCUCCGGUGAACUUCGAGAGCAAUGGGCGGAAGUACAACAAGGGGUACUAUCUAGCUGAUGGCAUCUAUCCGAGAUGGUCGACAUUUGUCAAGACCAUCAAAAACCCUGUGCCUGGAGGCAAGAACGCCUGGUUUGCGAAGAUUCAGGAGGCUUGCGGGAAGGAUGUCGAGCGGGCAUUUGGUGUGCUCCAAUCUCGAUUUGCUGUUGUCCGGUACCCCGCUCAGACCUGGUCGAAAGAUCAAAUGUGGGAGAUCAUGACCUGCUGUGUCAUCUUGCACAACAUGAUCAUUGAGAGCGAGCAGGAAGAGACAAUGUUUGACACUGAACCAUACCACCGGCAGGGUCCUCUUACCCAAGUUGAUCACCAGCUACCGGCAACCUGAACUGCCUACCUCAGUAUGCAUCAGGAGAUCCGAGACCCACAGGUGCAUCAUCAACUGUAGCAAGAUCUGAUAGAGCACCUAUGGAGGCUCAAGGGCGACACCGGGCGCGACGUGUGAUAAAAUAUGAGUUUUUAUUUGUUGAACUAUAUAAUUUGUAUUGAACUAUUUGUUGUUGUACUAUUUUGUUGAAGUAUUUGAAAUUUCUGUGAUGAAAUAUGUGAUAAAAAAUUAUGUUGAUAAUUGAACGCCGAGCCACGACGAACCACGCCGAAUAUGGGCCUAUUCUUGCCCAUAUGGGCCUUUUUCGCCGAAAUGGGGCUUCAAAAGUGAACCAAAAUCGACAACUGUGGGCGAGCUGGGGACGACGACCGGGCGCAAAACCGUCCCCAACACCGAAAGAAUCGCCGGCUCGCGAUUUUUAUGCGCCCUAAAGGACCGAACGGCUCGAGAUGCUCUUAGGACCACGACUCCACGAGGCACCGAGGCAGCAGCCAGCUCCCGAUGUCACUGUGUUCUGUCGCAGGCACACUGAAUCAUGCACUUGCAUCUGACGCAGUUCCUUGUAUUUGUACUAUCCUUUAAUUAAUGAAAAUUGCCGUAAAACAUUUUGUUCUACCGGUUAGGCUAAAAAAAUAGGGCCAGGGGUGAGAGAGAGAGAGAGAGGGGGUGCGUGGUGGCACUGAGCUCUGUUAGCUCAGCUGCAAGAGAAUUCAGACCACGUAGCCGAGGAGCAGGGACCAGAUUAUGCAUCCACUUUUCUACCAGCUCCACGAGGUAAAUUUGACAAUUUUGAUCUAUUAAUGAAAUCAUUUCAUAAAAUGAACUGCCACUUAAAAAAUUUCAUUCAGCUGACAUUUUUGAGUGGCGCCCGACACGAAGGCGUCACACUACAAUGACAGGCGCUGCACGCCUGGCCAGCAUCGCAUCCGGGUGAUCCAAAAAUUAUUGUCAGUGUGCAGCGCCUGAGAGCUAGGCUCCACACUAUACAGUGUAUCGCCUAGCGUUUAGGCGUUGCACACUAUCGCCUAGCGUUUAGGCGUUGCACACUACAAAAUGAAGCAACCACCAGUGCAACGCCUAUAGGCUAGGCGCUACACUGUAUAGUGUAAAUGAAGCAACCACUAGUGCAAUGCCUAGACGCUAGGCGCUACAUUGUAUAGUGUGGCGCCUAGCUCUUAGGCGCUACACAUUGACUUAGUAAUUUUUUAGACCGGGAUGCGACGCUGGCGCGUGUAACGCAUAUUAGUGAGGCGUUGCACAGUGUAGUGUGGCGUCUUCGUGUCGGACGUCUUCGUGUCGGACGUCACUUAAAAAUGUCAGGUGAGUGAUUUUUUAAGAACAGUUCAUUUUAUGAAAUGAUUUCAUCUAUAUAUCAAAAUUGUUAAAUUUACCGCUCUACGAGUGCUACUGCCAGGCAUGAAAAGUUGCUUCCGUUGGGUAAUGAUCACUGGCUGGUUUGAAAAGUCGAUCUGACAAGGAAGAGACAAGAACCAAGAUUGCAAAUCAUGAACGCUUUGUAGUUUGCACCCGGUGCUCCAAAGUGAUUGUUUAUUCUCCGUCGAUGACGUGAGUCGUAUGUGACAGCUACUUCAUCUGGUUAAAAGUUUUUUUUAACAUUCAACACCUCCUUUAUUAAUUAGCUACAAUAGUAGCAUCAGGAACAAUCAGGGGAAUAACCGCCUCCGGGGCUGUAUCCAGCCAAACACCAGGAGGAUUGAAUUUAACUACUCUAGCUAACUCAUGAGCUACUUUAUUGUUUUCUCUACAGCACUGUUUAAAGAUGAUAUGAGUAAAAUCUAAGGAUAUAAAAAAAACAGUCAUCAAAGAUGGCACUGGCAACCGAAGAAGAACUCCCUCCCUUCUUUAAGCGCGUUGAUGACCUCAAGACUAUCCGAAUUUAACUCGGUCUUGUUGCAUCGAGCGGCACGGGCUAGAUUCAAGCCAAACCUUACUGCAAUUGCUUCUGCGGUAAUUGCAUCAUAGCAUAUGUUCAGUUUUUCAUUGGCCGCUGCCACGAAAUUACCAUUGUGGUCUCUAAUGAUAGCCCCCACAGAUCCCUCCAGCGAAUCAUAGUCGAACCCCGCAUCCACAUUCAGCUUGACGUACCCAUUCCUCGGCCUCAUCCAGCCACCUUGUCGGAUCUUUGGUUUUGUAGAAUAAGCAUUAAUAUAGUUAGCAGCAAGUGAUCUCACCGCUAUACUGAUAUGUGAAGCAUUAAGCUUUACUCCUCCGUGUGUUAGCUUUCUUCUUUCCCACCACAAAAACCAGCAGCAAGUGGCAAUUGUUUCUCUGAAUUUGGGGAGUCCCAACACAUGGAUAUGAUUAUCCGGAAGAUUGAGAAGAAAUUCUAAAGUUACUUCCCCAGAUCUGUCCAGAACCAGGGCUUUAGUGGUUACCUCAUGCAAUCCAAGCAGCUUCCAAACUUCGGUGGCGACUGGGCACUCAAACAACAAGUGUCGAAUGGUCUCAGGUCCUAGGUUACAAGAAGGACAGUGGGCUCUUAUCUUGAUAUGUCUAUCCGCCAAUAACGCCCGGCAUGGAAUAGCGCUGUGGAUCACUGUCCAAACAAAAUUUUUAAUUUUUGCAGGACAAUUCAUCCCCCAAAGAGAUUUCCAAGUGGGUUUAGGCGCUGAUGAGCUAUAGCCAGCCUGCAGAUGGUGACCAAACUGGGCCUCCCAAAUAGCAUGAUAUGCAGAUCUUACCGAGAAACCCCCUGUCUUUGUCAAGCUCCAUGCCAAGAAGUCUGGCAUUUCAUAUAUAGGCACUGGGAUAGCAAGUAUUCUCUGGGCAUCAACAUGACAAAAAGUUUGGUACACAAGCUACCUAUCCCACUCCCCCAAUGCAGGAUCUAUUAGCUCAGAUACACGGGAUAACAAGUGGUUACCUCUAGGAGAGAUAACUUUUUUAGAUGGUGAUUGUGGGAUCCAGCAAUCUUCCCAAAUUUUAAUUUUUUGUCCAUCGCCCACUCUCCAGAUCAGGCAGUGCUUCAAGGUGUCCACUCCUGCGAUUAUACUUUGCCAUGUGUAGGAGGCCUUCUUCCUCAACCCCAUAUUCAAAAGAUCAUCAUUUGGGUAAUACUUUGCUUUGGGAAUCUUUGCACAUAGUGACUCAGGAUCAUCAAUAAGCCUCCAUGCUUGUUUUACCAAUAGAGCUAGAUUGAAGCAGUGAAUGUCUCGAAAACCCAUACCUCCUCUGCUCUUCGGUAUGCACAUCUUCCACCAAGCAAACCAGUGCAUUCUCUUGUGUGACGCAUCAUCACCCGACCAGAAACGUGAUAUCGCAUCUGUGAUUCUUUUGCAAAAAAAUUUAGGAAUUUUGAAGACCGACAUCGCAUAAGAUGGUAUGGCUUGUGCAACAGACUUAAUAAGCACUUCCUUACCUCCAGAAGACAGGCACUUUUCUUUCCAUCCAGUAAGUCUCAAGAUUAAACGAUCAAUUAAAUAUUGGAAGCUGUCGCUUUUAUCCAAACACAGGGUAGCAGGCAAACCCAAGUACUUAUCAUUGAUGGCCUCUGUCAUUAUAUUAAGUGUGCCACAAACCUGAGCCUUCAUGUUAACAUUCUGUGCUAGGACCGAAGAAAAUGCUCGAUUUAUCCACACUUACUAACUGACCUGAGGCACCACAGUAUAAGUCUAGUAGUGAUUUCAAACAAGUGGCAUUUUGUACAUUAGCUUUCAUGAGAAUUAACGAAUCAUCAGCAAAUAAAAGGUUGAUGACCGACGGUGCAUCACGAUAAACCUUAACUCCCACUAACUUAGGUGCACCGAGGCGUUGAAUCAGUGAGCCCGCCCCUAGUCGGAUCGGAUGGUUUAACAAGCGUUCACAGAUUCUCAAAAAGAAAAAGAAAAAGGGUUCACAUAAUGCCUCCGCGCAUAGCUAGUGGUACCGUUGAAAUUCGGUUGCCGUCUACGGAACGUGGAAUAGAGAAACUACAUAAUCAUUCAAGUCGUCUAGUAGCAACCUACACAUCACUACAAUAUCUAAGUUCCCUUGAAUGUAAAUGUAAGGGCUGUGAGCGCUCUAGAGCUGAGAGGGUCAAGUGAGCAUGUCGCUUAUUCUUCUUUAAAGAACCACUUAGAUUUAACCAUGUAUUUUAAUUGUAAAUACAUUCAUUUUUAUGUAUUUCUCCGACAAGUAUUUUUGAACGGAGAAAGUAUUAUUUAUCUUGAUCGCGGUAUAAUCGAACUCACUCACAUACACGAUCACAUACUCACCCCCUAUGAAUGCACCCAUGCGCACCUUACCCCUAUGAGCAUUUCUGAGAGACUGAGACGGCACAUCAUCUUAAGAUUGACGAAGUCGCACAGAGCAUUCGUAGUUGGUAGGAAUGUCUCCUCCCACUUAUGCACACCGCCGAAAGGCCUGAAAUAAAUCCAAAAAAAUGCGAGCACCAAUGUAAAGUUUGGGACUCUGGUGGGAGGUAUAGCAAUGCCCAUCUAACCAUCCAACAAUACAUAUUGUUUACUGUCUGGGCCAACCAUCCAACUACGUGUGUUCAACACUUGAUGUGUUACGUGUCACUUACUCCCUGACCUAAAACCACAACGUUUCUUGUAGAUCAGAGGGACUACUUUUUUGCAAGAAGAAAAAGGUUUACAUGUCGCUCAUGUACAUCGAAGUGAUGUAUCAUCGCAUAGCGGCACGGUUACCGCCCCCUCUAUGUCACAUGGCUGCAUGGGCGUCGUCAAUCCACCACCACGCUGCAUGCCCCGCCCAUCUCUCUAUCUUUCUCCCCUUCUGUCAUGGCGGUAUGCCUGAGCCAUCACCGCCUCCUCUUCACCACAUGGUUGCACAGGCACCCGACCCAUCACCUGCUCCUCUGCAUCAUAUGAUUGCACGACACCGCCAGUCCAUCACCGCCUCAUCCGCACCACACGGUUGCACGGGCGCCCGUCCCACACUGCCUCCUCCGCACCACAAGGCUGCACGGGCUUUGCCUGUCCACCACCAUGCCGCACACCCGGCCCAUCCCUCCAUCUUUCUCCCCUUCUUUUGUGCGGUAGUUAACGUCCAACGACAACGACGCUCGGGGCUUGGAGACGACUGUCGUCUUUAGAACUUGGUCACCUUCAUCAACACGCCAUGGCCCACAAGGUCUGCAGUACCACUCCCGAUACCUCCUUCCUCUCCCUCUGUCAUCCUUUCUUUGGCAGCCUGAUUCAAAUUCAAUCUCGCUCGCUUCGGUGCUAAACAAGUAGCAGAUUAUACCGGGAUUUUAUCUCAUUGUGUAAGGCUUCAAUUUAAAAGCCUCAUGUUUCAUUGCUUGAGUACACCUCCAUGCUUGUGGAUUAACAACCUCACACAGUUUAUACAUGACAUGUUGUAUGAUGCCUCUGUUCCAUAAUGUAGUGCGUAUUAGUAUUUCAAAAGUCAAAGAUGUCCAUUUGACCAAGUUUCUAAAAUAAACUAUCAAUAUCUGAAGUACUAAAUAAAUAAACUAUAACGGUACAUGUGGAUGUUGUUUUUUUUUAACUUGGUCAAACAUUGGUACAUUUGACUUUUCAAAACAAAGUAUGUACUAUAUUUUAGAACGGAGGGAGUAUUAAUUAGCAUAUCGUUCCACGCCUAAGGAGCAUGGUCUUUGGGUCAGUUAUGUACACAACUAAUGAUAACUAGGUUUUUUUGUGAAGAUAAUUUGCUUAAUUGUCACUGGGUCACUUAUGUACACACCUAAUCAGACCUUAUUAAUGCAUCAAUAAUAUUACAUUCAAAUGAAAAUUGAGAUCAAUCACUUGUACUAUUAUCUCUCUAUAUCCUCCCAUUUCCACCUCUUCCUCUUAGAAGCCGCUAUAAACAUGCUUCAUUCCCUUAGUCUAUGCAAAUCAUUACUUUUAUUUCAAAUAUGUUCUUUCUAUUUUGAUUCUAACUACGCAUAUGAAUGAUCAAUAUUGAAAACCAAAAGCCAUAUACUUUGGUGAUUUGUUGCAACUUCCAAGUAUUUCUUACUUUCACUUUCCUUUUACCAUUAUUGCAGACCAUUGUUGUUGGUGUUUUGUAUUAUUUGUCUGUGAUCAAGGUAAGUUAUGAAAUAUUGGUUGGUCAAAUUAUAAAGUUGUAUGAUUGUUGUAGAUGAUACUACAAUCACAAGUCUCAGUUAUGCAUAUCAAAGUUUUGAAUUAGUUUUGCAGAUUUACAUUAUCAUGUUCAUUCAGUAUUAUGGUUUAACCCUGCAGGUCAGUGACAUGUUUGACGCCAACCACUACUUUGGAUACGUUUUUGGUAGUGUUGCUAACAUAUCAUUUUUGCGAAGAACAAUAGUUGUAAAAAAACUGAGUAAUAUCCUACCAAGUAAAUGAUGACGUGUCCUAGCAACUAGACAUGUUCUGACACCAAAAUUAUGGAAGCCAAAACACGAAAGGCCCAUGAAAUAAACAACGACCCCAACCCGCAAAUUGAGCGGCAAGAAAUUUAUUUGUGAAUUAACAAUCAAACAAAUAAACGGUAGAAAAAUAGAACGGCGCACGUACCCUUUUAGUAUAACUAUGUUCAAAGAAAACCCUACACAUAUAACAUACAUGAAGGACGAUCUUGUAUCAAUGCUAAGUAGUCCAUCAGUUCUUGGCGAUCAGUCACGACUUCUUGCACAAGCUGUAGUGUAAGUACGAGUACUGGGGUUAAGUUGGGACGAAAUCUGUCCGAGUCGAGUUUCCUUGCACGGCAAAUUUCAGUGGUUCCUUUCGCUGAAAUGAAUGUUGACGCGUCGUUCUCAACCUUAUACUGUUCAAACGUCAACGUGCAUCUACUGAGGUACUCCAAUCCAAUAAAUCCUAUUCACUCUACGUCCUCGACUCCUCGGGCACGACGGCCGGCCAGCUGCUCGCAUGUGGCACCUCGCCUCGGCAACGGCGUCUCCACGCGCAACAGGAGGAAUCUCUCUGCCUCACUGCUCACAGCAACAUGGGGUUAGCGUUAACCAAAGCCAGGCUCUGUAAUUUCUUCACACUAACAUGACACCUAACAAUAACCAUGACCACAAGGACUUGUAUAUUUCUUCCUACUACUAACCAAUCCUGGCCAGUCCAGCUAACCGCAUCAGUUGUAUAGCAUCUAAUGGCAGAUGAUUAAAUUGCACACUGCCUUGAACGUGAUCUUUCAUGUACCACCACUACAGUAGAGUAGCUUUGUCUACUGUGGCUUAACCUGUCAAUGUCACACCCUAACCAAUUUGUGCUACUAGUUUAUUAAGCAGUAUGAUGAGAGGACGGCAAGCGUAGGCAGGAAAGUUAAUCAUGUGUCGUCGUCCCGGUUGUUGAAUGACCCCUCCAAAGAUUCCUCACCUAUCUAUCUAUCUAUCUAUCUAUCUUAGCUUCAACAGAGACAGUCAAACAUGCCUUGUCUAAUCUCAAGCUAAGAUCUGACUUUUUUUUUUUGAGAAAUUGUUCAUUCAAAUCACGAAUCAGUACAGAGUAGGUGACCCUUACAAGCACACUGAAACGCAAAAACAAAGGAACAUGAACACCUAUAAUACCCUAAGACAACCAUAACACAAGAAGAUCUCCGGAGUUCUGUGUCAUCAUCCCUGAAUCUUGAGAGAAGACCCCUGUAGCAGAAGGAUCCGCAACCAGUCGCAAACAGGUCAUCAUCUUCGACCACGGUAUAAUUGCCACCACGCACAUGUGGAAGGACAUGUCCUACUACGUGGAGACCCAGAUCUAGCGAGGCAAUCGUCGUUGCAACCACUUUUAACUUCUUGUGCCGCCUGCUCCGAGAGAUCCACUGCUGCUCAAGCUCAUCUCCUCCCACGAGAAGCUACAACGGCCUAAUGUAGGAUCAGCGAGGAUUUAAUACUAGUUGCUUCAUUAGGUGUACGUUAGAGCUGAUGAAAAGUGCUUAUGAUUGAUUACUAAUGGCUCAUUGUCAGCUUCUACUAGUAUAACUUUUCAAGCAAAUUUACAAAAAGUAUGAGCACAUGGAAAGAGGGGGAACAAAAUCAUAGCAAUAUUUUCGGGAAGCAAUACUAAUCAUACACCAAAUCUGUAGUACAGGAGCCAAACUAUAUUAGGAUUAGCUGAAUAAACACUUGUCUUGAGACAGCAUUACAAAACAAAAUUUGACACCACUAGCUGAGACGGCCACAGCGUUAGACCAAAAUCCCACUCCUAACCUUUUUUUUGGAAGGGUAUAUCCCGGUCUAGUUAACAAAGGAUUCUGCACACCUCUUCUCCGGAGCAUCAAGUAUUUGCAUCGGCACCUCCAUCACAAAUUUAAGUUGGCAGAUUUUAUAUUCUAAACUUGAUGGCAUUAGAAUGGUAGCAAACCCCCCACUUCUCAAAUCUAUGGAUUUCAUUUGGCAAAUUCUACAAUGCAGAGCCCAUCCAGCAGAUGACAUUUUCACCCAAAUAUCCAACUUAAGACUCUAGGAUGUUUUCACUGAAAUACCCAACUUAAGACUCUCUAUGACAUUUUCACUGAAAUACACCCAACCUAUCUUAUAACAUUUCCUGCAACUUUUACGCUUCUUAGAUGGGUUUGACGUAUUCGGAUUUUAGACGCAAUAUUUGGAGGCCGCCGAUGCAAAUUUCACACUACGGGAGAAGAGACGUCCAAAGGAAGGAUUAGAGUCUCAUUUCACCCCUUCGAACUACCCUUAUUUACCAACAUCAUCUUAAAGUCUUGCCCAAAGGACACAAAGCUAAUCAAACGAACAAAAAUUAACACAUGGAUGGAUACCACUGAUUAAUCAGCCUUACUUAGCUCCCCGCACGAAUCCUAGUGCAUGCAUGCAUGCACCGGCGCGC
This 19437-nucleotide long non-coding RNA is filed under the name Triticum aestivum (bread wheat). RNAcentral's name for it is "long non-coding RNA (TAES_LNC006815)". Lineage: Eukaryota; Viridiplantae; Streptophyta; Magnoliopsida; Poales; Poaceae. The record is from RNAcentral.